AUGCAUAUCGUCCAUAUAUCUACAAUAUAUAAAAAAAUCAAGCCCAAAUUUCAAAAUUGGGCAUGAUCUCUUUUUUUGAAAUUUUUAACCUAUUUUUCUAAGCAACAUAAAAAAAUAUUAAAAAAAAGAUAGAGGAAAUAAACCAUACUUUAAUUAGCCUUUGCUAUAAUUUUUUGGAAGAACACUGCUCUCUCACCUCAAUUUUUUUUUCACGCUGCCUUUGGAUCUCUCAAUCCACCACCGUGGUUCUGCUAUCCGCUUCAAUUCAUGACUGGUUCAGGCAGAUCCUUCAGUUUUGAUAACCAAAGCUACGCGUUUAACUAAGAAUUUGAGAUAAGACAGUGCAUCGCAC
This 352-nucleotide long non-coding RNA is filed under the name Phoenix dactylifera (date palm). RNAcentral's name for it is "long non-coding RNA (PDAC_LNC014740)". The record is from RNAcentral. Lineage: Eukaryota; Viridiplantae; Streptophyta; Magnoliopsida; Arecales; Arecaceae.